This 460-nucleotide ribosomal RNA is filed under the name uncultured bacterium. RNAcentral's name for it is "bacterial SSU rRNA". It matches the Rfam family "Bacterial small subunit ribosomal RNA", at positions 29 to 534 of the family's 1533-position model. The record is from RNAcentral.
AACGAACGCUGGCGGCAUGCCUAACACAUGCAAGUCGAACGAGACCUUCGGGUCUAGUGGCGCACGGGUGCGUAACACGUGGGAAUUUGCCUCGGGGUAUGGAAUAACUCAGGGAAACUUGAGCUAAUACCAUAUAAUGUCUUCGGACCAAAGAUUUAUCGCCCUGAGAUAAGCCCGCGUAGGAUUAGCUAGUUGGUGGGGUAAAGGCUCACCAAGGCGACGAUCCUUAGCUGGUCUGAGAGGAUGAUCAGCCACACUGGGACUGAGACACGGCCCAGACUCCUACGGGAGGCAGCAGUGGGGAAUAUUGGACAAUGGGCGAAAGCCUGAUCCAGCAAUGCCGCGUGAGUGAUGAAGGCCUUAGGGUUGUAAAGCUCUUUUACUGGGGAUGAUAAUGACAGUACCCAGAGAAUAAGCUCCGGCUAACUCCGUGCCAGCAGCCGCGGUAAAGUGACUACUG